UGCCACAGCCAUAUCGCCCUGCAGCCCAAGACUGGUUGCCCACUGAAGCUAAACUGGAUUGAGCCUGGUCAGUACCUGGAUGGGAGACCUCCUGGGAAAUCUAGGUUGCCGUUGGAA
This 117-nucleotide ribosomal RNA is filed under the name Sinocyclocheilus anshuiensis. The record is from RNAcentral. Lineage: Eukaryota; Metazoa; Chordata; Actinopteri; Cypriniformes; Cyprinidae.